UAUUUUAUUAAAAAUAAUUAUAUAAAGAAAAUUUGUAGUAUUGUAUAAAAAAUAAAUAAUUUUAAUUAUAGAUGAUUAGUAUUGUGAAAUAAAAUUGAAAUAUUAUGAAAAAAUAUUAUUAAAAAAGAAAAUUUUAUUAAUUGUACCUUUUGUAUCAGGGUAUAUCAAAUAAAUAUUAUUUAUAAAUAAUUUUCUCGAUUUUAAAAGAUUUAAUAAAUUAUAAAAGUUAUUGUGGUAAAAUUAUUUUUAAUAAUUUAUUAGAAAUGAAAUGUUAUUCGUUUUUAAUGGUAUCUAGUUUUUUUAGAAUUAAAUUUAAUUUAGAAAUAGAAUUAAAAAUAUUUAAAUAUUAAAUUAUUUUAAUUUUUUAUUUUACAAUUAUAUGGGAUAAGCUAUAUAAUUAAAUUACAAAUUAUUAAAUUUUUAUAAUAUAUAUAUGCUUAUAAAUAGCAAUUAUUAAUAAUUAUGUUAUAAUUUAUAUUAGAAUAAAUAUGAUUUAAUAUAUUUUAAUUUUUUAUAAAAAUUUAUAUAUAAAUAGUUUAUAUAUAGAAAUAAUGAUAUAAUUAGUAUAUUUUUAUGUAAAUAUAAAUUUAAUUGAUAGGUUAAAUUAAAGAAUUCGGCAAAAAUUAAUAUUCACCUGUUUAACAAAAACAUGUCUUUUUGAAUUUAAUAUAAAGUCUAACCUGCCCACUGAAAAUUUUAAAUGGCCGCAGUAUCCUAACUGUGCAAAGGUAGCAUAAUCAUUAGUCUUUUAAUUGAAGGCUGGUAUGAAUGGUUGAAUGAAAUAUUAACUGUUUCAAUUUAAUUUUAUUUAGAAUUUUAUUUUUUAGUUAAAAAGCUAAAAUUUAAUUAAAAGACGAGAAGACCCUAUAAAUCUUUAUAAUUAUAAUUUUAUUAAUAUAUAGAUAAUUUAAUUAAUAAUAAAAUUAAUUAUUUUAUUGGGGUGAUAUUAAAAUUUAAUAAACUUUUAAUUUUUAAAAAACAUUAAUUUAUGAGUGAUUGAUCCAUUAUUAUGAUUAAAAAAUUAAGUUACUUUAGGGAUAACAGCGUAAUUUUUUUAGAGAGUUCAUAUUGAUAAAAAAGAUUGCGACCUCGAUGUUGGAUUAAGAUAUAAAUUUAGGUGCAGUAGUUUAAAUUUAAAGUCUGUUCGACUUAUAGUUUCUUACAUGAUCUGAGUUCAGACCGGCGUAAGCCAGGUUGGUUUCUAUCUUUAAUAAAUAAAAUAUUUUAGUACGAAAGGACCAAAUAUUUGAAUUAUAAAUUUUUAAAAUAGAAUAUUAUUAAUA
This 1283-nucleotide ribosomal RNA is filed under the name Diplonevra peregrina. Its description in RNAcentral is "16S ribosomal RNA". The record is from RNAcentral. Lineage: Eukaryota; Metazoa; Arthropoda; Insecta; Diptera; Phoridae.